GCCCCCAUCGUCUAGUGGCCUAGGACACCGCCCUUUCACGGCGGCGACGGGGAUUCGAAUUCCCCUGGGGGUACCA
RNAcentral lists this transfer RNA (76 nucleotides) under Candidatus Melainabacteria bacterium RIFOXYA12_FULL_32_12. RNAcentral's name for it is "tRNA-Glu". It matches the Rfam family "tRNA". From Rfam's summary of the family: Transfer RNA (tRNA) molecules are approximately 80 nucleotides in length. Their secondary structure includes four short double-helical elements and three loops (D, anti-codon, and T loops). RNAcentral also lists the same sequence under 1 other name. Lineage: Bacteria; Bacillati; Candidatus Melainabacteria. The record is from RNAcentral.